Molecule: long non-coding RNA, 2391 nt
Organism: Bos taurus (domestic cattle)
Lineage: Eukaryota; Metazoa; Chordata; Mammalia; Artiodactyla; Bovidae
Source: Ensembl
GGCACAUCCUAGUACAUCCUUGGUGACAGAGGUACAGCUUGGGACUGGUUUCCAGGAAACCCCUCAUCUCCCAGGGCUCUUGCUGACGCCCUGGCUGCUGGGGGUAUGGGUUUGUAGGCAAAGGGGCUGCUCCCUUUGGGGAAGAUAUGUGGAGUUCCCCAGAGCUGGGGCGAGGUCCCUCUCUCUCCAAUUCAUCCCCUGCAUUUGUAAUCCCUGCCUUUUCUGUGCCACUGAAGAUGUCCUCGUGUGUCUUAUGAAGACAUCCUUUCCUCCGUGCUAUUCUUCACUGCGUGAGAGAGAAUGAAGAAGGGAUGGGGAAGGGACGGGGAGAAGAGAUGAGAGCAGCUCUGGGACCCCAGAGUGUGAGCAAGUUUCAGUUGAGCAGUUCUUUUAGGCAAACAUUUUCUAAUUAAACUUUAAACCCAAACCCUUGUUCCACCUCUCUCAAAAACGCAGGAUGUGUCUCCCUUCUGGUUAGCAUGAAAUGAUUUCUUCUCUUUCCUUCAUUAGAAACUGGAAUUGAUCUUCUUUAAAGAUAAAAAUUACAUUUCUGCUUAAUUCCUGUUUGAUUCAUUUGGAACCAGUGCAUUUUCAUCAGAGCAACUAAAAAGCCCUGUGAGAAUCAGCUCAGAAGAAGGAAUGUACAGAGGGUCACGAUAAGUAGCACAUCUCAUCAGACCUGAUGCCCGGGGAUGUUAAAGUGCUUUUUAAAAUGAGGACUAAUAAGGCUACUCAGCUUUUACUGUUUUCUAAGAGCCUCAACUAAAUUAAUCAUGGCACAGAAUAACCCUUCCUGUAAGGUGAUUACACAUCCUUUGGUUGUGGGGAAGCCUGGGCUAUCACAGAGAGAAGAAGCUGAGUGAAUUAUUUAAAAAGUAUGCAGCAAAGGCCUGUGAAUCGUCGGGGAGGUGGGAUGGCGUCUCUCCCUCAUUCGGGGGCCUCUCCGAGGAAUAGCAGAAGGGACCCCAGAAGGCUUGUUGGACACCAGUUUAAUUCGGAAAAUAGAGCAGCACUUCACCUCGCGUGUGCUGGGUGGGGAAUUGUAAAAGAGGACACAGUCAAAAUAGUCAUUAAGGCCAAACCAGAGUCAGCCCAAAGCCAGGCCUGCAUUCCCAGGAACCUGCUGGGCCGUGGUAUUUGCAUACAUCAGUCUCCAGCCUCCAUUGUCUCCCACAGGAAGAACUUGUUCCAUUCCAUUAAGAACGCCUGAAUAUUUUAUUGGCUAAAAACUAGGGGCCUAGGCUGGAUGGUAAACAAGUUUGGAGUGCUGUUUUUGAGUUGUGUUUAUGUUUUAUACAUGGAACAGUUUUAAGUAUUUUUUUGUUAAAUUCAAAACACUCCAGAAAUUCUGCAACUUAAGGCGACAACCACUGCAAAAGUUCCAGGGCAACAUUUGGACACUUUCAAGAUUACUUCAGGGACUUGAAUGCUGAGAAACAAGAAGGGACAACUUUUAUUAAGAAAAACAUUUUAGUAGCUGAAUACAGAAAUCAAAACCAAGAGUAGGCGUUCCAAAUUCAUAUUGUGAAGCGCCUACAAAAAGAUUCUUCUGUCAGCUUUCACAGUGUGGAGAGUUCAUCUUUUCAUCUCAUCAAGUGAAAAUAUGCCCCAAUUCCCGACCGGAAUGUGGACUCUGCUUUCAGCAAUGAGCAUCAGACAUGACAAGCCCUGAUUUUGUUCAGUUAUCAGCCCUUCACCUGUCAAGCCAGUGCCUCAGGAAGCUUGAUCCCACCUCCAGCCCAGUAAGUGGACCUGAUUGGUCAAAGGCAUGGCCUAUCCGUCUGGCCAGGGAUCGGUUCAGGAAUAGACUUGAGACCAGAUUCAGGAAUGAAUAUGAGGGACAUUCUUCUUCUUCCUGCAUGUGAUCCCUUGAACUGCUGCUACCACCUUGCCACCUGCCUAAGGAGGAAGGUCAAUGCUGAGGAAUCGGAGCAAAGAGAUAGGAAGAACAUGAGUCUAUGGCAUUGUUGUGCUUUGCUGUCUCUGGACUUCUUUUACGGAAGAAUUCAUCAUCUCAACUGCCCCGAGUCUACGAGAUAUGUCCACAGACGAGCUGACUGCCUACACCAUAGUCCACACCGUCGGUAGCGUUAGCUCCACUGAGACAGAUGUGUUUCCAAAACGCACAGAGGGAUUUGCUGGCCUGAGCAUAGCAAGAGUGUGAUAACUGAAAAAAAAAAAAAAAACAUAAAGUGGGAUCAUGCCCACCCAUCCCUCUGGUUAGACUGCGUGUUUUGUGCAGAAAACUAUGUUUGGGUAGCUCCUCCUCGGGGUAAAGAAAGAAAGAGCUCUGCGCCUGAAGAAACCCCGGACCUGGUAUGCUGGGAGGAAGGUCUGCUCUUCCAGGGUGAAGCCAUUCAUGACAGACCCAGGGAUGUGCGUACUUUGUUU